GGAGGCUGGGGUGGGAGGAUCCCUUGAGCCCAGGAAUUUUGAGGCUGCUGUGAGCCACGAUCAUGCCACUGCACUCUCUGGACUGGGUGACAGAACAAGACCCUUCCACUUAAAAAAAAAUGAUGAUUGAUCUGUCAUUUAGUUACUGUUAAAAAAAAUGAGUUUAAUGUUUGAAAGGAAUAUAAUUAAAAGCAUGAAACAGAUAUGUUUAUAUAUUUUUUUAGGUGUUCCUCCAAGAAAAGCUGGUUAUAUUGAAGACCUGGUUUUGAUGCUGCCUCAGAACAUUUGGGAUAACCUAUAUAGCAGGUAUGGUGGAGGACCAGCUGUCAACCAUCUGUACAUUUGUCAUACUUGCCAAAUUGAGGCGGAAAAAAUUGAAAAAAGAAGAAAAACUGAAUUGGAAAUUUUUAUUCGGGUAAAAAAGUGAUGCUUUUCAAAUUGAUCUAGGAUAAAGAUGAAGACCUGACAAUUAUCAGAGUUAUAUGAUAUUAAUAAAAUGAUUGGAUGAAAGAGUUGUAAUAGAUUUCAAGUGUUCUAGGUGCAUAAUGGUGAAUGACCUCAGGCAGUUCACUACAGUUCUGUUGAGUUAUGUUCUCCCUUUGUGUGUUUUUUUUUUUUUUGUGUAUGUGUUUAUGAGACAAAAUCUUGCUCUGUCGCCC
Molecule: small RNA, 659 nt
Filed under: Pan troglodytes (chimpanzee)
Lineage: Eukaryota; Metazoa; Chordata; Mammalia; Primates; Hominidae
Description: retained intron
Source: RNAcentral